CUAGUAACGGCGAGCGAAGCGGGAAGAGCUCAAAUUUGAAAGCUGGCACCUCCGGUGUCCGCGUUGUAAUCUCGAGACGUGUUUUCCGUGUGGCGCUAUGGACAAGUCCCUUGGAACAGGGCAUCGUAGAGGGUGAAAAUCCCGUACUUGCCAUGGAUGUACCAUGCUUUGUGAUACACGCUCUAAGAGUCGAGUUGUUUGGGAUUGCAGCUCAAAAUGGGUGGUAGACUCCAUCUAAAGCUAAAUAUCGGGGAGAGACCGAUAGCGAACAAGUACCGUGAGGGAAAGAUGAAAAGCACUUUGGAAAGAGAGUUAAAAGUACGUGAAAUUGUCGAAAGGGAAGCGCUUGAAGUCAGCCAUGCUGCUUGAGACUCAGCCUUGCUUUUGCUUGGUGUAUUUCUCGGUAGCAAGCCAGCAUUGGUUUGAGUCGUCGGAGAAGGGUACGAGAAAUGUGGCAUCCUCGGAUGUGUUAUAGGCUUGUACUGGAUACGACGAUUUGGAUCAAGGAACGCAUGUGUGCCUUAUGGCUGGGUCUUUCGGACACCGUUCACACU
Molecule: ribosomal RNA, 554 nt
Filed under: Malassezia pachydermatis
Lineage: Eukaryota; Fungi; Basidiomycota; Malasseziomycetes; Malasseziales; Malasseziaceae
Description: eukaryotic LSU rRNA
Rfam family: Eukaryotic large subunit ribosomal RNA
Source: RNAcentral